GAGGGUCCGGGGCGUUAUCCGGAUUUAUUGCGUUUAAGGGAGCGUAGGCCGGAGAUUAAGCGUGUUGUGAAAUGUAGACGCUCAACGUCUGCACUGCAGCGCGAACUGGUUUCCUUGAGUACGCACAAAGUGGGCGGAAUUCGUGGUGUAGCGGUGAAAUGCUUAGAUAUCACGAAGAACUCCGAUUGCGAAGGCAGCUCACUGGAGCGCAACUGACGCUGAAGCUCGAAAGUGCGGGUAUCGAACAGGAUUAGAUACCCUGGUAGUCCGCACGGUAAACGAUGGAUGCCCGCUGUUGGUCUGAACAGGUCAGCGGCCAAGCGAAAGCAUUAAGCAUCCCACCUGGGGAGUACGCCGGCAACGGUGAAACUCAAAGGAAUUGACGGGGGCCCGCACAAGCGGAGGAACAUGUGGUUUAAUUCGAUGAUACGCGAGGAACCUUACCCGGGCUUGAAUUGCAGAGGAAGGAUUUGGAGACAAUGACGCCCUUCGGGGCCUCUGUGAAGGUGCUGCAUGGUUGUCGUCAGCUCGUGCCGUGAGGUGUCGGCUUAAGUGCCAUAACGAGCGCAACCCCUCUCCUUAGUUGCCAUCAGGUUAAGCUGGGCACUCUGGGGACACUGCCACCGUAAGGUGUGAGGAAGGUGGGGAUGACGUCAAAUCAGCACGGCCCUUACGUCCGGGGCUACACACGUGUUACAAUGGCAGGUACAGAGAGACGGUCCCUUGCAAAAUGGAUCAAAUCCUUAAAGCCUGUCUCAGUUCGGACUGGGGUCUGCAACCCGACCCCACGAAGCUGGAUUCGCUAGUAAUCGGGCAUCAGCCAUGGCGCGGUGAAUACGUUCCCGGGCUUUGUACACACCGCCCGU
RNAcentral lists this ribosomal RNA (866 nucleotides) under uncultured bacterium. RNAcentral's name for it is "bacterial SSU rRNA". It matches the Rfam family "Bacterial small subunit ribosomal RNA", at positions 527 to 1397 of the family's 1533-position model. The record is from RNAcentral.